CGCAGGAAUUGCUGGUCCUGAAGCGCCCAGCGGGCGUUGAGCCGGUUUUCCCCUGGCUCCCCUUAUAAUAAUAGGAAGAGCCCCGCGCCACCAAUGCGGAGCCGCCCCACACUGAGGCCGCCAACGAGAUUUUUGGCGUCGCAGUGGCCUGCAGGGUCAGCGUUAGCGUCCCUCCCUCCUUUCUUCUACUUGUACCUUCUCCGAUGCUAGCUAAAGGCAGUCAUUACUCUAUAGGAAAGUUAACAGGGGACUGAAGAGAACAACCACAAAGUGCAAUGUGUGAUCUUGAAUUGGAUCCUGGAAGAGGGGGUCAAGAUUGCUAUAAAGACUAUUCUGGGGGCAAUUGAUGAAAUUCAAAUAUAAACAAUAUGUUAGGAUGGAGAGUGCGGCUGAAAAUUCCAAGCUUCUAAUCGCGGCUUGGUCUUUCUCGUGACCAGCCUGCCUCUAGGAGCCAUCCAGGGAGCCCACCCAGAGUCACCUCAAUAGAACAAAAGAUGUGCCUCGUGCUCUCUCUUAUCACUUAGGAAUUUACAAAGGUUUCAGUAGCUCUGUAUCAGGAACUGGGGGCAGAGACCAAUAUAUGUUUUCUGUUAUUUCACAGCUAUAUCAGAGAAUGUCCUUGUUUAAAGGACAUAGAUACUGAACUAUUUAGACAUAAAGGAGCAUGAUGUCUGUUGAUUCAUUAAAAAUUUAUGUAUAGAUAAAAAAUAGAAAGUGAGAUAAGCAA
Molecule: long non-coding RNA, 727 nt
Organism: Eubalaena glacialis (North Atlantic right whale)
Lineage: Eukaryota; Metazoa; Chordata; Mammalia; Artiodactyla; Balaenidae
Exons: 3
Source: RefSeq, a predicted model, not a curated record